UGUCCUUAAUUUCUACUAAUUAAUUGUAUUCAUUAUCAGGACUACCCUAUAGUGCGAGAACAGUUUCAAUUACAGGAGUUAAAUUGACAUAACAAAACAUAAAAGGCUCUGACUAAUGACCUGUUAACAGCACCUGUCUGCUGGAAGACUCCAGAAGCUUGGAAGUUGAAGGAUACAUCACCAUACAUGAGCAUUAGCUAUUGAGCAUUCCUCUAGUGCUUUAUUAAAAGACUGACUUACACAUCACUAAUCACACCGACAAACGUCACAGAACGGGGAACUACAAACCUGGUCGCCAUGGACUCAUACUUCCAUUAUCUUUGGUCUCCCUUGUGCCACUCUUAGCCACUGAGGCAAGGAUUUCACAAGACCUCUGAAGGUGUGCUGUGGUAUCUGACACAAAGAUAUUAGCAGCUUUGGUAAGUCCUAAACCAACAAUUUGGCAAUGUGGGAGGGAGCAUUAUCCUGCUGAAAGAGGCCACUGCCAUUAGGGAAUAUCUUUGCCAUGAAGUGGUUUACUUCGUCUGCAAUAAUAUUUAGUGCCUUCUAGUGCCAUCUCAUCCCUAGCACUGUGUGCUACAUUAUCUCUUCUAUAAAACUGGUUCAGACAGGCUAAUCUUCGCUGACCACACCUUGCUCUUCCUUGGACCAUUUUGCUAAGCAUGCGAGUGAGAGGAGCAGAGUGGCAACCCAAUUACCACAGGCAUUGGCGUGGCAAUUUACAGCAAGUCACUUAUGAAAUUGUUAUGAAGCGAUGAAGGAGUUGGCCAUCUGUGGUACAUGGAGUAGGGAGAUCAAACAGCCGGGCACUUUGCAGCUCCAGUUACACAAUUAGAGCAAAGGGGAUGAGGAAGAAAAGGAAAAGCAGUCAUUCAGCCUGGCUCUAAAAAAAAACCCCAAAUGAAUAGAUGUCACAUCAAAUACUCUUUACUAGGCUGUGUCUUUGUCUUCUAUCCCGCUGAGGAAUGGAGGCUUGGGCUGAAAUCCUUUGCCAGUGAGAUAUAAGAGUUCAGGUUCCACCUAGUCACCAGUCUGUGAUUAGACAGAGCUAAUGUGGAGUCCAGUCAGUGCUUCCAAAUCAGACCUGCAUCCAAGCACAGUUCUAAACUAUUCUAUAAAAAAGCUCAAAUUCAACACAACAGGAAGUUACACAAUAGAAGCAAGUAUGAAUAAAUUAUAGAAGAACACAUUUGAAGGCAGGAGUUCUAUAGCAGGCAUGACACAUGCUGUCAGCUUUUUGUUGCUUUGACACUAUUGGCAAUGUAGGCUCAGCUUUAAAAGUAAAUUAGCAGAGAUAAAAAUAAAAAGAAGAAGCGAAACACACUGAGCUAAAAUACUACAGCAUACCACUCAGGGCACCAGGAAACUUCUGGACCAUUCAUUUCCAAACUUCUGAUCAAUGGCCUUUCCUUGAGGAAUCACACAAUCGAUUCAGUCAAUGCUCUGAAUGUUAUUACAUUUCUCUUUAAGGAAAAAAGCAGCGCCCUGAAACUAACGGAGAGCACACAAGUAUUUUCAUCACUGCACAGCUAACAUGCCUUGCAAUUGGUGAGAGGAAGUGAAGCUGAAGAGAAUCACUCCAGGCUUCAGCCAAAACAACACCAGCUGAUCUGGAAAAGCAUCAUUUAACAUAGCAUCACAUUUCAGUUCUAAACAACCAACAUGCAAUAUUUUCAAAUUGCAUUCUGAGAACAUAACUAACAGAUUUAACAAUGAUUUAAUAAAUAAAAGUGA
Long non-coding RNA from Tachysurus fulvidraco (yellow catfish), 1734 nucleotides. RefSeq lists it as uncharacterized. The record is from RefSeq and is a predicted model, not a curated record. The transcript is spliced from 5 exons. Lineage: Eukaryota; Metazoa; Chordata; Actinopteri; Siluriformes; Bagridae.